UCAGAGUUGGGCGAGCGUAGCCGGUCUGCGUUUCAAUCGAAGUGUCCUGCAGCGUCAUUGCAAGCAGCUGAACCCUCCAACCCAUCAACAGCUAUUGACUGAUUUUGAAAUCAAUACCCAAAACCGUUCGUCCCAACAAUCCCUGCGUAAGCAGCUGCAUCUUUCCCUCAGGUGGCACGUAGAAGGAAGUUCCGUUUCCGUGAUCACAUUGACCAACUUUCAGCAUGGGAGUCCCAGUUGUCAAUAGGAAACGGCAACCAAGUACUCCAGGGUGAAAAUCAAGUUUUUCCAGUUGAAAUGGUGGGCCUAUUGAUCAAACAUAGCUCCAGGACCUACAACAGUCCUUUGUGGUAGGCCAGCCUCAGUUCAGUUGUAAUUUUAAUCAGUAACUUUUGAAAGCACCACAAAUCAGUUGUGUGUGUGUAUUGUGAGAAAUUGUUCUAUAGGCUAAUGUGAAGAGUGGUAUAGUUUUGGCAGCCAUUAUUUAGGCAAGAUAAGUCUUCCAAAACAUCGGUUAUGGGAAAGAUUUAUUCAUAAGAGAGCAUUGUGAAUGCACCUUUGCUGCCUUUUAAGCUUACAAUUCUGUCCAGGACAUGACCUGUUCUUUAUCUGCAAUGUUUGCUCUAUCAGAAAAUCAAGUGUGCUACAUACAUGAUGCUCUUUAAGAAAAGCUGAUCAGUCCCUGUACCCUUUUAAGAACAUUUUAAUUACCAUUUUAGCUGAAACAAUUUCACUUUUGUUGCAUUGAUAAUUAAGAUGUCUGUGAGUUUUCGAUAAACAUGUUGUAUUUACUAGGAACCCAUUGUAUUAGUCGUAUUCAUGGAAACAUAUUCAUCAGAUCUGUAUUUAUUGAAUAAACUGCAUUUUUACUGC
Long non-coding RNA from Dermacentor albipictus, 873 nucleotides. RefSeq lists it as uncharacterized. NCBI's taxonomy places the organism in Eukaryota, Metazoa, Arthropoda, Arachnida, Ixodida, Ixodidae. The record is from RefSeq and is a predicted model, not a curated record.